GCCUGGGUGGCUCAGUAAGUUAAGCAUCCGAUUUCGGAUCGGGUCACGAUCUCAUGGUCCGUGGGUUCAAACCCUGCGUCGGGCU
This is a non-coding RNA of Felis catus (domestic cat), 85 nucleotides long. Lineage: Eukaryota; Metazoa; Chordata; Mammalia; Carnivora; Felidae. The record is from Rfam.